UAAAUGGUAAUUCUGUAAAAGAAAUUUCAUGUAUAAUUAACAGAAAUACAAUAAUCACCAAUUCCUAGUCAUUGUCCGAUCCAAAUGAGCAUUACAAGGUAGUCAUGGUCAAUUGUUGAAUAAUAUAGAAGUGUAAAACAGCGUCUGCAUUCAGAGCUUGAUUAAGACAGAAGCAGAUUUCCUGGAAAAAAAGAAGUGAUGAGAGUGGAAAACUCUCAAGUUACUCAAUUGCUUCAAAAGCUUUAAUUCUUCUCUUACAAUAUAUAUCAACAGCUAUCCUUAAAAUAAUAACAAUAAUAAUCUAACUUACGAGGCUGUCGUCCAAAGCAACAUGUAUACACUUGGUCUGCUUUGUUAAGAAGACAAGUAAGAACACGAACAUGAAUUUAUUUUUCUUGAAAAUGAUAAAAUUAGUGAUAUUUAAUCUCAAAUCCACAUAAUGAGUGCACAUUGAUGGGUGUCACAAAAGAGUUACAACUUAUUUCUGUAGUAUCCUUUUCGUCAAAUUAUGACUUACAAAGAAACAAAAACAUCAUGAGAGCCAUGCAAGAAGAACAUAUUCAUCAUCUUAAACCAGAGACAUGGGCAACCAAAAAGUUUGCUUCCUUUUAUGUGCCAUAAAUACCAAUUGAUUCAGCUUUUCAGUAACUGAGAUUUUUGGAAUUGGGCCAUGAGAAUUUUGCUAUUCCCUUCCCACCUCAUUGGAAAAUCAAGUUUUUGGACAAUAUUGAAAAGAAUUUGAAAAAAAAAAUAUUAAUACAAUCGAUGUGACAGAGGUUAACUAUUUACAUUAUCAAAAAUAUUAUUCAUAUUGUUAUGUUAAUAUUCAACCAAAUGCUUUGUUUGAUUAGCAAGCUUUUUCUCAUUUACCUAUGCUUUUAUAAUAAAAAGAACAGAAAAUUAUCUCUCGUUAUAAAGCCAACCUAUUAUCUUCCACAACAUUAUACCUUCAUUGAAUUUGUUUAAAAAAAUAAAAACAAAUUCAGAUCAAGAAUAGUUUUAACUUCAGCUUUACUCUACUAUCUUAGUAGGUAGAAAGUUAUCAAAUUUAAGGAAGACAAAAGAAAUCUUAAGAAAUAUAAAAUAGGGCUCAUCUGGCAAUUGCAUGGAUACAGGACUGAGACAUUGGUUUAUUAUUUUAUGUUUAGGAAAGAGAAAUUAUCUAGAAGAUAAAAUAUUCAGACCACCUUCUUCUUCAAGCAUACAUUUAAGGUUGAGAGGAUAAGAUUUGUCUUCUUUGUAAUACAAGUCUCUGGCAAAAAUCCAAUAUGAAGACUCAUUGGAUCUUAGCCUUCAUGACGAACUUCCUGUUAGGUCUCAGUCCCUUCACUUCCCAUGCAAACAACUGAACUAACAUAAUACUGGUAACUUGCAAAAUACUUAAAUUGCAUCAUUUAAUAUUACUAUUCAUUAACUUUUUAUUUGUAUACAAUAUUUUUUGAAUAUUAAUUUAAUAUAUUAUAAAAUAACAUACGUUUUUCGAUGGCAGACAAGAAGGAGAAAAAAUCUCUCAUUUUGCCUCAUUCUCUCUCUCAUCUAUGGCUCUCUCUCUAAUAUGAUAUAUUGAACAUAAAUUUAUAAAUUAUAAAUAUAUGAUACAAAUAUUUUAACACAAUUAUUUUUAAAAACUCAAGACAAGAUAUAAGGAAAAUGUUAACAGCAAUGCAUUUAUUAUGUCUAAAUGUAUAGACAUACAUACACAGACAGAUGCACAUAUCAGUAGUAGCAAUUGUAAAAUGCUUCAGAAACAAGGUUCUUUACAGACUUCAGGAGCAUGGUUCCAGAUCAAGUUCACUGCAAUUCAUUCCAUUUAGAUUUACGCAUAAUUUACAGAGAUGAUUUUCUAUAAAAAUUAGCUAAUAUUCAUUAGUCAAAAAAGAAAAAGCUUUACUUCUAUGGUUAUUUUUGGGUUAAAAAAAAAAAGGAGGGCUCCCUAAGGUACCAUGUUGGAAAAUAGAGAAGAGGGAGAGCUAGAGUUAGCUCUAACAAAGACAUUUCAGAAACUAAACAUGUUAAUUCAACAAAGUAGAAGUUGAAGACAGAGAGAAAACACAAAUCUCAUUGCUAAAUCAAAGGAAACAUAAACACAAGAGGGGUCUAUUUCAAACCAUUUCUGGUGGUUUUUGCGCAUGACCUUGGCAUGCUCAUAAACUGUUGAAUUGCCAAAGGAAACAGAAGAUCUCAAAGACUUGUUGAUUGAAUUCACAACUCCAACAAAAAUUUCAUUAAGGAGAAAUAGAGAUCAAAAAGAUAAUGUAAGAAAAGCAACACUACCAUACUCAAGCAUGGUGUGUGCAAGCACCAUUUGUUGACUAAGGCAAGCAACCUUUCUCUAUAAAAGAGAAGAGGUGGCUGCAGAAUAUGAUAACAGAGAGAAUGAGAGUGCAUUACGAAAAUGUGGAAGCAUAUAUAUAUAUAUAUAUAUAUAUAUAUAUAUAUAUAUAGAGAGAGAGAGAGAGAGAGAG
Molecule: long non-coding RNA, 2465 nt
Filed under: Manihot esculenta (cassava)
Lineage: Eukaryota; Viridiplantae; Streptophyta; Magnoliopsida; Malpighiales; Euphorbiaceae
Description: long non-coding RNA (MESC_LNC006286)
Source: RNAcentral